RNAcentral lists this transfer RNA (91 nucleotides) under Clostridia bacterium. RNAcentral's name for it is "tRNA-Ser". It matches the Rfam family "tRNA". Rfam says of the family: Transfer RNA (tRNA) molecules are approximately 80 nucleotides in length. Their secondary structure includes four short double-helical elements and three loops (D, anti-codon, and T loops). Further hydrogen bonds mediate the characteristic L-shaped molecular structure. tRNAs have two regions of fundamental functional importance: the anti-codon, which is responsible for specific mRNA codon recognition, and the 3' end, to which the tRNAs corresponding amino acid is attached (by aminoacyl-tRNA synthetases). tRNAs cope with the degeneracy of the genetic code in two manners: having more than one tRNA (with a specific anti-codon) for a particular amino acid; and 'wobble' base-pairing, i.e. permitting non-standard base-pairing at the 3rd anti-codon position. The record is from RNAcentral. Lineage: Bacteria; Bacillati; Bacillota; Clostridia.
GCAGAAGUACCCAAGAGGCUCAAGGGGCUCCCCUGCUAAGGGAGUAGCACUGUUAAAGGUGGCACGAGUUCGAAUCUCGUCUUCUGCGCCA